UGAGGAAUAUUGGGCAAUGGCCGUAAGGCUGAACCAGCCAAGUAGCGUGCAGGAUGACGGCCCUAUGGGUUGUAAACUUCUUUUAUACGGGAAAAAACCACCGGUCGUGUAUCGGUGCUGAUGGUACCGUAAGAAUAAGCAUCGGCUAACUCCGUGCCAGCAGCCGCGGUAAUACGGAGGAUGCAAGCGUUAUCCGGAUUCAUUGGGUUUAAAGGGUGCGCAGGCGGAUUAAUAAGUCAGUGGUGAAAUCCUACGGCUCAACUGUAGAACUGCCAUUGAUACUGUUAGUCUUGAGUAUUGUUGAGGUAGGCGGAAUGUGUCAUGUAGCGGUGAAAUGCUUAGAUAUGACACAGAACACCAAUCGCGAAGGCAGCUUACCAAGCAAUAACUGACGCUCAUGCACGAAAGCGUGGGGAUCAAACA
This 423-nucleotide ribosomal RNA is filed under the name uncultured prokaryote. Its description in RNAcentral is "bacterial SSU rRNA". It matches the Rfam family "Bacterial small subunit ribosomal RNA", at positions 355 to 774 of the family's 1533-position model. The record is from RNAcentral.